Molecule: non-coding RNA, 23 nt
Filed under: Cricetulus griseus (Chinese hamster)
Lineage: Eukaryota; Metazoa; Chordata; Mammalia; Rodentia; Cricetidae
Source: RNAcentral
GCCUGAUUAGGGGCUGAGGAUGG